GAGUAUGGCAGCUCUUUUAGAAUUUGUCUAGCAGGCUUUCUGGUCCUCACCAGAAGACCCAA
Otolemur garnettii (small-eared galago) is the source of this 62-nucleotide small nuclear RNA. Its record names the gene U7. It matches the Rfam family "U7 small nuclear RNA". From Rfam's summary of the family: Animal histone pre-mRNAs are spliced by a different mechanism than nuclear pre-mRNAs and self-splicing introns. This processing involves the U7 snRNP, which contains only one RNA species: U7. The record is from Ensembl. Lineage: Eukaryota; Metazoa; Chordata; Mammalia; Primates; Galagidae.